RNAcentral lists this long non-coding RNA (1350 nucleotides) under Cyanistes caeruleus (blue tit). RNAcentral describes it as "lncRNA (ENSCCEG00000018406.1)". The record is from RNAcentral. Lineage: Eukaryota; Metazoa; Chordata; Aves; Passeriformes; Paridae.
AUGCCUGAAAAAGUUGUCGAACACCUUCAGCCGGACCAUUCACCUGAAAAAACUCCACAUGCAGUAAAGGUGCUCCAGUUCCACAAAGCUUUGCCUGCCUUUCACAACAAGCAGCAGAGCAGGCUGUGCCUCCUUGGCCAGCUUCCCCUGUGUUCCUUCUGGCAGCUGAGGCUGUUGAGGCUGCAGCUGAGAGCAGGGAGGUUGCAGUUAAGGUUUCUCCUGUUGGUGUCUGAGCAAGUGAAAGAUGAAGGAAAAGCUACUUGGUGUGUUUGCAGAAUGAUGACCUACAGAACCUCACCAAAUCCUUAUUUUAAACUCAUGGGUAUCAAGACUAUAAAUGUUUCAUGCUAUCACAACUAGGACCUCACCUCCUCCUCCUCUUCCUCUGUAAAUGGGUACGAUGCAUCCAGUUCAGUUUGUUUACUUUACACAAACCUCAGGAGUUGUUGACUGAGCUGCACAUCCUGUGUUGUGCCAAGCAGAAGCACUGUGACACCUGGACAACAAGUCUCUCUUACUUCAUAUCCUCUACCAUAAGGACUUAGCUGGCCACAUGAACUGAUGUGCCCACCACUACAUCAUGGGUGAGAAUGGGUAUUUUACUAGCACAUUUACACAACUUCAUUUGCUGCUGAAAACCUGUAUGACAAAUCAUCAUUGUAAAUUAUUACAUACAAAACUUAAUGUUGGUUGCAGAGUAUUAAAUAUUUAACAUAGGUUUUGAUUUAUACAUGUACUUUUUUAAUUAAAAUGUAACUUUUCCUACAGCACAUCUUUUUUGAUGUGGAACUGAGGUAUACUAUAUUCUGUUGUAAACAGAGUGGGGAACCUGCUUAAAACAAGGCUUCUAAGAAUAGAGUAGGGUACUAUUCUUGUUUUAAGAUUGUAAUUCAGAAAAUAAUAUAAUAUGAGUCAUUGGUCCCUGGGCCUUGAUUGUACAGUCAUAUUUACUGAUACUAUCAGUUGUAAGAUAACUCUGAUGUUGAGCUGAAUUCUUUCCAAAAGAAAAAUAAUUUUGUACUCCUUGUAAAAUAAUAGUCUGUAUUAACUGCAAUGAAGACAAACAUUACUGUACAUGGGUAUUUACAAGUGUCAACUUGAAUUCAUCAAUUGCACAGGAACUGACAAAAAAAUCAGAAAAAAAGAAAUCAAAGUCUUCCAUUGUAUAUAUUGUAAAGAAGAAAAAGAAAAAAACAACCAACAGGAAACCACAAAGCAAAAUGGAAACAAAAAAGGGUGAACUUUUUAAAUUGACUCUUUCCCUGGAAUGAAAAUGUGGGUGUUUGUAAAUUCUGGAAAUCUCUUUCUAUAUGUAAUAAACUAGAUACUGUUUUAUCUGCUGUAGUGGGU